GCACGAAAAUCAUAAAUCCUCUUGAAUGGUACUUUACACUAAUAAUCUCUCGAUAGAGUAUUAGAACAUGUCUUACUUAUGUUAGAUAUUAACAUAUGUAUCUAUUUUCGUUACGGCUGUUUUUAAAGAUUGCAAUACCUGAAAAGAUCAGUCCUUGCAAACCUUUAAUAUAACAUUGAUUAAAAAUUUCUGUCCAAUGUAGCGCAUACAUUAACGAGGUAAUUCAUGGUAACGUUGACUCACAUUAUUUCAAUUUCAAGUCUCUGGAAAAAUCGUAUAACUUACGGGAUAAUCUACACUGGGCCAAGAAGCGGGGACUUCUCUGAUAAGUACGCGAAUAAUUCUAAUACGAUUCUACACGGUCCUGAAAUCAUCAUCGUGAACGUGAACGAAAAUCAGUAGCUUAAUUCAAAUCAAAUAACCUUACUAUCGUAUCGUGAAGAGUGUGUUACAAAAUACUUUUUGUCUUCAGAGAAACAACAAUAUCACACUAGUUUACAACUUGCGUGUGUGUCUGAUCUGCUUGACCGAAUUCUACACAGAGCUGCGAAUUUUAUGCAUUUCCAUCAUAAGUAAGCGAUUGAGAAAUGAGAAGCAAGCAAUAUCACUUGACUCUUCAAUAGCGAGUAGUAAGUUGUUCAAAUUAGCGAGCUUCGUUCCGAAUACAAUUUCAUUCCCGAUGCAUGAAAUGGAUUAGUUAAUUUUGUAGGAAGUGACUAUAAACUUAGUAAAUUAGUAUUAUACUUUAUUAAUCUGACUGCAUGUUUAGACCGUAAGGAAUGUAAAAUAAUCUAUGUAUAGUACAAAUGCAUAAAACGCAGAGCAGUCGCCGUUAAUAUUGUACUAAUAACUGUCAGUAGUCAUCGCUUCACGUCAUUGAUGCUUCAGGAAUAAGAAAUUCAAUGUCGAUCAAUCGUCGCUGCCUACACACGAUCAGUACCACUGCUGUCAAUAUUUAUAAAUUAAUUAAUUAAUAUUAUUAAUACCGACAGUAUUAUUAGCCGAGCAAGAUCCGCUCAAGGAAUCUCAACGUUUUUGUCUCUUCUAGUGUAAUUCCCUGGGUCUACCAAUACUUUUCACAAUCAGCACACUCGCAGCAGACUUUAACACGUAACAUCACACUCACACUCUUUAAUGACUAUAUUUACAGAGGAUUUGGCAAGUUUCACUGAUCGAUGCCAGUCACUGUCGAACGAUCGCUAUAAUCUCGUACAGUCGAUCUUCUGUAUGCUACCGGCGAACGCAGGAUUUGCGAGACCUUGCUUCUUCCGGUGGGACUUCUUCAGCGGCUCACUCCUAAAAAUAUAACAGAACUUGAACACUCGAAACUUACAGAGCGAAUUAUAAAUAUGUAAUAUCUGUUUAUACUGGGUAUGGCCGAACAAUAUGUUAGCCGGGUAAUGUCUUGAAAAAUAAUAAAGAAUUAGAGAAUACAAGUUGUUCAUUCGAUGCUUAAUUUUGAUGAUAUUCGAAAUCGAUUUCUUCAAAACUAAACCUCAGUGUUCUACAUUUCGGUCGCACUCUGUAUAAUUCUCGGAGAAACUGAGAAUUUAUGCAAUAAUUGGAAUAAUUGUUUAUAAUUGAUCAGAUGCUCGAAGGAAGAUCGAUAAAUGUUACAUUAGUUACUAAAAAUAUAUAAUGUAAUAUUAUAAUAAAUAUUAUAAAUAUUAUAUCAUGUGUGCGAAAUUAUACACCUUUUAAAAUUAGACCUUUUAAAAUGAAUGGAAAAUUUUGUUGUCUUUUAUUGUUGGAUGGUAUAAAUCAUUAAAAUUUGUAUGAUAAAUAUUUGCUACAAUAUGGCUACUGGAAGAAAAUUACUUUAAAAUAAUCAAGAUGAUCCAGGAAAAAUAAGAAAUGUUACUUACGAGGAUAUGCAGGGGAUCCACCAAAAACUUUGAUCCCUGCCAAAAUCGUUGCCUUCUUGAAGGGUUUCCGGUAAAUCUUGGUUCAAGGUUUCUGGCAAGCCGAGUGUCAAGAAUGCAUGCAGGAAAGAUAACAAGCCGAGAGUGAUGAGGGGCAGAGCAGGAUCGACAUCAGCCUAAAAUGUCAAUCAAGUUCAUGUUUCUGUGACAUUGUUUUCAUAUUAAUGAUUAACCCUUUGCACCUAGACAUGUCUUCUCCUAUUGUUCACUUAAUAGUGACAUUAUAUUAUAUAUUAUCACUAUUAUCACCACUAUUAUCAUUCUUAAUAUUGAUUUUUAUUUUAUGAUUUCUAGCAAUUUAUUAAAUAAUGUCAAAAUUCUCUUGAAUUACGGCACAAUAAUAGCACCAUAGAGUCACUAUUUUUAGUGCAAAGGAUAAAUAUUUAUCGCGAUCGGGAUAACGUGCCUCAUCACUGUAACUUUAAAUGUAAAACAUGAUCAAAGACAUCUCGACUCUGAGGAGAUAAUUAUUGUCUCUCGAAUGCAAAUCUAUUUCUCCUUGAUUAAGAAAAAGAAGAGUAAGUAGCCGUUCCAAUCUCAAGACGAGUGUAAUUUCAUAGACAUUAGACUUAAUACAUAGCUGCUAAUGGGUAGAUUGAAGAGCUUGACAAUAUGAACAAAGAGUAACACAAGAUAAAAUCUUCGAUAAGAAUCUCGAGAAGUAUCGGAUGUGUAAUUACAUCGAACCGGUGAUAUUCUAUAGAAAAGAAUACACUCUAUAAUUAUUUCCUUAGUUACCUUCAAUGUUAUCACGUUAAUCGUGCACGUGCGGCAAAAAUUAACAUUCAACUUAUAUUUUUGUUGUUGUGAUUAUUGUAUUUUUAGCAAUACUUUGAAGAUAAUUACGUAGAACAGUACUACGUAUGUAUUCGUUAAGAUUUUAUUUUUCAUAUAUUUAACAUAUUACUGUAUACGAUAGUAUAGAAUAGUUAUCCCAGGAUGAUGAAAUCUAGUAUAAUCCAUAUAAUGAAAUCUGAUUCAGAAUUUUAAGAAACGAAAGUUUUAAAAGAAUUACAUGCUCACCAGAUAAAUGAUGUAGGGUCCCAAAAUGUGAGCCAAAUAACCAAUGAUGUGAAUCAAGGACACACCUUGCGCCCGCACCACAGUUGGUAGCAUUUCCGCCGCAUAUUGGAAGCCGAUGUUCGCGGCGAUAUUAACUCCAAGACGGGCUAUGAUCGCCAUAGUGACCGUUGGUGCACCUUGAACAAGUUGAGAAAUAUGUAAAUUCCUUGUUGCGUUCCACUCCGUCGCUGGUGCACGCGGCUACCUCAUAAUGCAACCUCGAUCCGAAUCGACUCGCUCACCAAUAUUAACCCUCUAACUUUAACUGUCAACAGCGUACAGAAUAUACACCCUGAGAAUGUAACCGUAAUCGCUUCUAUAUGUAAAAUAUUAUAUAUAGGGUGUUCCGGAACAAAACAUGUUUAUGAGACAAAGUUUAUGACACGGACGUGACGAAAGGCUAUUUUUGAGAUUGAGACUUUUUCAACAUUUGGCGACCAUUCGAUGUUCAACCGUCCGUUUCGUCUUUCUCAAUAGUCGUGACGUGUCAUAAACUUGGCACUUCCGAAGGGUAUCCUGAAAUCGUACCAGCAUUCGAGGCUACCGAUGGUUAACCUGGAAGAAGCUCGCAACCUUGCCAAGGUCUUCGAAGAUUUUACGUCCAUGCAGGUAUCGCUCCCACCCUUACCGAGAUUAUUAUAAUAAAUAUGCGACCAAGGGACAUCAGGGGACAUAACUAGCUUCUCGGAUGGAGAAUGAGAAAUGAGAAAAAAUGAGAAAUCGAGGAAACGAGAAAAUGAGAAAAUGAAGAAACGAAAACUUACCAGGAGGUGUAGAUAUAGCGAUAAAGGAGAAAAUUCCGCAGAGGAACAUCGAGGCGAAGCCCAUCCAUCGUCUGCCCCAUCUGUCCAAAAAGAGGGCGAGCAGAAUGGCGGCGGGAAGUUCCGUCAGGGAGGCCAAAGAAAAGGAUGUGAAUACGUCUGGGUCGAGAAGUUUCAUGUUCCAGACAUGGCCGUCGAACACCCACACCAUCAAAAGCCUGGAAACAACGAACAAAUCACGUGGCCGAUCAAUCGCUAAGUUUUAGCUUCUUGCUGCUCUUUUAGCGGAUGGCGCAGCAGCCUGGAUACUUAACACACGCGGCACUAUAUUUCGUAUGAACAACAUGUAGAGGAAAUAGAUUGAUUAACCCUUUGUACUCGGAGACACUUUAACAAUAAAUCUGAAAUUAAUUUUCUGA
Molecule: non-coding RNA, 4164 nt
Organism: Megalopta genalis
Lineage: Eukaryota; Metazoa; Arthropoda; Insecta; Hymenoptera; Halictidae
Source: RefSeq, a predicted model, not a curated record